GUCACCGAAGUUAAGCAUCGUAGAGCCAGGUCAGUACUUAGAUGGGGGACCGCUUGGGAACACCUGGUACUGUAAG
RNAcentral lists this ribosomal RNA (76 nucleotides) under Acanthosepion pharaonis. Lineage: Eukaryota; Metazoa; Mollusca; Cephalopoda; Sepiida; Sepiidae. The record is from RNAcentral.